RNAcentral lists this ribosomal RNA (468 nucleotides) under uncultured bacterium. Its description in RNAcentral is "partial 16S ribosomal RNA". It matches the Rfam family "Bacterial small subunit ribosomal RNA", at positions 28 to 507 of the family's 1533-position model. The record is from RNAcentral.
GAUGAACGCUGGCGGCGUGCUUAACACAUGCGAGUCGAACGGAAAGGCCCAAGCUUGCUUGGGUACUCGAGUGGCGAACGGGUGAGUAACACGUGGGUGAUCUGCCCUGCACUUCGGGAUAAGCCUGGGAAACUGGGUCUAAUACCGGAUAGGACGAUGGUUUGGAUGCCAUUGUGGAAAGUUUUUUCGGUGUGGGAUGAGCUCGCGGCCUAUCAGCUUGUUGGUGGGGUAAUGGCCUACCAAGGCGUCGACGGGUAGCCGGCCUGAGAGGGUGUACGGCCACAUUGGGACUGAGAUACGGCCCAGACUCCUACGGGAGGCAGCAGUGGGGAAUAUUGCACAAUGGGCGCAAGCCUGAUGCAGCGACGCCGCGUGGGGGAUGACGGCCUUCGGGUUGUAAACUCCUGUCGCUAGGGACGAAGCGUUUUUGUGACGGUACCUGGAGAAGAAGCACCGGCUAACUACGUG